GCGGCGGGGAGAGAAGCAGAUGCCCGCGCUAGCGCUGGACUUUGGGACUUGAACCGCGACACGAGUCAAAAGUCGGGCGGGCGACCCGUCCAGACCGGCUGACAAAGGACCGCCCGAUCGAUUCCUGUGAUCCUCGACAAGCCUUUGAAAACUCGGGCGAUGUAGAGAGUUCCCUUCAGAAUUAACUCACGAGAUUGAAGUCGUGUAAUAAUGAAAGGAUAAAUAUACUUCCCGCCUUCUGCAAGAUCAAGGAAGCCAGGCAGGCCAGGAGUAAUGCAAGAGCAUCAAGCUGGUUUCUCUCAGAGUGAACCAAUUAGCUGCUCCGUGUGCGGAUGUCACCACCUUGUGACCUUCGGCCUGGCCUGCUGGGUGGAGAAGGGGAUCCGGAUCACAGUUGCUGAACCCAAAAGGUCCUCAAGAACUGGCAACAUCCUUCUGCUCCAAAUUCCAGCAUCUGGAGUUCCUUGUGUAUCCAGCUUCAUUUUCAUCAUUAUCGGUGGAACCAUAGAACCAUAGAACAUUACAGCACAGAAACAGGCCUUUUGGCCCUUCUUGGCUGUGCUGAACCAUUUUUCUGCCUAGUCCCACUGACCUCCACCUGGACCAUAUCCUUCCAUACACCUCUCAUCCAUGUACCUGUCCAAGUUUUUCUUCAAUGUUAAAAGUGGGUGACCAGAUCUGCUCGCAAUACUCCAAAGCAGGCCUCACCAAUGUCUUAUACAACUACCUUCCUGAGACGGAGGAUACAAGAAGAAAAGUGAGAGACACGUGCAAAACUAGAAUCAUAAUAAGAAAAUCAAGAUGGAAGUGAAACCAAAAAAAAAAUAAUUAGUACUAAACUGCAGGAAAGAAAGCCCAGCAAAUGAAAUGAGAAUGAGGAAAUUUACAAAGCAGUGUGGUUUCUUCCUUUUGGAAUUGACAAGCACAGACAAGAAGUGACUAGAAUUCAAAAUGCCUACUUCAGAACCUCUUAAAAUUCAAGGUAUAAUUCAAAGUAACUUCAUUAUCAAACUACGUAUAUGCCACCAUAUAGUAGCUACAAAGUGUUGUGUAUUUAAUAUUUCAGUAAUAUUUGAGUAAUCUUAUAAAUAUAUUGUUUGAUUAAGCAUUCUUAUUUGUUUCAAUAAUUCAUUACGAGUAAUAUAUAUAAAUAAGUGUUCUCACACUACAGCAUGAUAUGUGCACGCCUCGCUUAAGGUAAACACAAAGUUAG
Mobula hypostoma (lesser devil ray) is the source of this 1213-nucleotide long non-coding RNA. RefSeq lists it as uncharacterized. NCBI's taxonomy places the organism in Eukaryota, Metazoa, Chordata, Chondrichthyes, Myliobatiformes, Myliobatidae. The record is from RefSeq and is a predicted model, not a curated record. The transcript has 4 exons.